CCUACGGGUGGCAGCAGUGAGGAAUAUUGGUCAAUGGCCGGAAGGCUGAACCAGCCAAGCCGCGUGAAGGACGAAGGUGCCAAGCAUUGUAAACUUCUUUUGUCAAGGGACAAAAUCAGGCUCGAGAGCCUGACCGAGGGUACUUGAAGAAAAAGCAUCGGCUAACUCCGUGCCAGCAGCCACGGUAAUACGGAGGAUGCGAGGUUUUCCCGGUUUUAUUGGGUUAAAGGGGUGCGUAGGUGGGCGAUUAAUUCAGCGGUAAAAGCCCGGGGCUCAACCCCGGCGAGCCGUUGAUACUGGCUGGCUUGAGAUGUCGAGAGGUAGGCGGAAUGCGCAGUGUAGCGGUGAAAUGCUUAGAUAU
This 361-nucleotide ribosomal RNA is filed under the name uncultured bacterium. RNAcentral's name for it is "partial 16S ribosomal RNA". It matches the Rfam family "Bacterial small subunit ribosomal RNA", at positions 338 to 697 of the family's 1533-position model. The record is from RNAcentral.